GAUUGAAAUACAGACCAUGGAUUUGGUAUCAUUCAUAGUACCAUGAGAGCAGAAUCUAUAAAUUGACAAUUUUUAUUCAUAAAGAAGAAUCUUAUCUAUUAAAAAUCUUCUAACCCAAAAAUCCCAAUCAGAAUCUAAUAAACACCCUCCAAUCUCCUUGAGGUGCUUUUCUUCCUCACAUAUCUACCAAAAAAAGAUGAAAUAAAAAGAAUAACAAGCAAAAAUAAACACCUUACCUUCUAAUCAACCAAUGUAGACGAGCUGAGGGAAAGGGAGAGCCGACUGCCCACACACAAGAGAGGGAAAGAGAGAGAGGGAGAGGAAGAGGGAGAGCUAGUCGGCUGCAUGCAUGAGAGGGCGAGGGAGAGAGAGAGAGAGAAAGGGAGAGGGAGAGCAGCUCAUCCGUGAGGGAUGCAUGAGAGGGAGAAGGAGAGGGAGUCGGACGCACAAGAGGGAGAGG
This 460-nucleotide long non-coding RNA is filed under the name Elaeis guineensis (African oil palm). RNAcentral's name for it is "long non-coding RNA (EGUI_LNC029586)". Lineage: Eukaryota; Viridiplantae; Streptophyta; Magnoliopsida; Arecales; Arecaceae. The record is from RNAcentral.